UGGUUGAUCUGCUGGUGGAAAAUGUCCCUUUGAGUACCCUGCGAUGCCCCUUCCUCCGUCGCUGCCUCACUGAGUCUCCUGUAGGGGGAGAACAGAUGUUGUAUGGAUGAUGGUGGGCAGGAUCGGAUACUGCGAUGGCCCCUGGAAAUGGGAUGCCCCCAACCCCUGGCAGCCAGGGAUGGCUGUCCCCCUACCCAGAGUGGCAAGGAUGGAGGAAGGGAAGGAGCCAAGGGCAGACUCCUUCCAGAGGGCUUCUUAGAGCCUCAGGGGAUAAUUAUGGCACUGUCUCAGCAACCCCAGGGGCAGGAAGGGGUACAGAGGGGAGAGCCUGGUUAAUUAUGGAGCAGGUGCCUGGCAGCACCUUGGGGUGAAUGCAUUAAGGUUGGGAAGCUGUCAUCUCACUCGCCCCAUCACAUUUAUUCACAGAACCCUAGGCACCCAGCUGGGGCUGCAUUUGUGUGGAUUCCGGCUCAGUUGGAGAGAUCUGCAAGUUCAAAGCCUGUGCCUUCUUUCCAAAUGGGAUCCCCCCUCUUGCCUUCUCUCCCUCACUUCCCACCCCGCCUGCCUCCCAUCAGGACUCUCCCCACUCCACCUCAUAGCUGCCUCCUGGCCUCCUCCUAGCCUACAGACAGCCUGAAUUGUUUUGCCUGCACUGGUUUAGAAAGGAGGGUUUCAGGCCUUCAGGUGAGUUGGAGGAAGAGGCUUCCAGGCUCCCCUGGCUCCCCAGCCCACUUCUGGUCCCCUCCUGGGCCUGCCCACAGCCUACAGGAGACCCUCGUAUGGACAGUGCCCUGAGAGGAGUCUUCAAAGCCCUGCUGCCCCUGAAGAAAUGGGAUCAGCUGGGAACUGUCACAAAGAGCAGAGGCCCCAGUGCUGUGUGCCCAGCGCUGCCCUCUGCCAGCUUGCAACUGUGCCGUGGGCACCCGGGCCACAGCAGUUUAGGCAGGAGGUAAAAUGUGUCAGGGCCACAUGGGGACAGAAAAGAAGUCAGGGACCCCUGGUUUGUCCUGGUUCAUCUCCAGUCUCCUCAUUGUCUUUCCCACAGGCAUCCCAGGCUGCCAAAUGGAGAUAAAACUUGCAAAUCCGAAGAGGGGAAUUGAAUUUGCACCCUCUGACUUCCUGCCUGCAUUUUCUAACAUGACUCACCUCCCUCAGGGCCCAACUCCAUCCACCUCUGCUACAAAAAAGAGCAAAUCCUCUACCACCUCUCAUCUCUCUCCCUGCUGAAUUUGUCCCUGAGUUAGCUCUUGCUUUUCUGUUAAUAGGAGGAGAUCCUUUCGCUCUCUGGAUAGACUGUCAAUUUCUGGAGAAACUACGCCCACUUCAGAGCUAGCCCGAGUUAAUCUGGUGAAACAAUAGAAAGGGUGAUCUUUUCAUACAGCCUGCCUCAUUCUGCACAUGCUUGCCCUGGGGGUAACAUUUUUGGCCAGUGAAGCAAAAUGCCACCAGUAAUUAGGCAAGUCCUUCAUCUCUGGCACAAGCAUCCAAAAAAAUGGAUGGAAGGCUCUUGUCCUCAUACAGCUUGUUCCAUGCUUUCCUUCACCCUCUGGACCGUAAAUUCUAAGUAGUCAUCCACUGCCUGUCUUGCUCACGACUAUACCUCGCGCUAUGCCCAACAGUGUUCACAUCUGAUAUACGUUCUUGGACUGUUAUUAAAUUCUCUUACUCUUGUCUGAAAAGUAGCGAGACACCUCCUCAGCCAGAAUUGACUAAGACCUCAGCCAUAACAAGGUGGAUUCUUUACCACUGAGGGAAUAAAGCCUGCUUUGCAGAAAAUGUGGAAUAUACAAAUUGCAAAAAUGUAUUUACCUGUGGAGUAUUACCUGGAUGAAACAUACAUAAAAUGAAUUGAAAAAAUACUUUUCAGUUUGUGAAUAUCUGGUGAUGUUAAUGCUUGACAGAGAUUUUAUCUUUGAAAGAAUGAAAGAAAAUAUUGUGAAACAUCGCAAGUAGGUACUGAUUAUUUUAAAUAAUACAAAUAAAAGUAAUUGUAUUUUUUAAAAUGUUCUGAUAUCCAAAGAAAUAUGCUGUCACCAUUGUAAUGAAUGUGCAAAAGAAUUUCUUUUUUUGAAACACACCUAUACAGAUAGCUAUCAUCUCAUUUUUCAGAGAUAACAACAGUCAAGGGAAUUCAGUCUGAGCCUAGUUGUGCUGGAUACUUGCAUUUUUUAGUUCUUAUAAUAAUCCCAUGAGGAAAGCAAUAUUAUCCCCACGGGAUGGAUAAAAACGAUGAAACCCGGAGAGGUUAAAUGAACAAAGGGCUGGUGAGUGGCUGAGCUAGGACCCCCCGGGUCUGUCUGACUCGGAUGUCGCACUUGACACAGACACGUGAUUGUCUAGCUGUGCAGAUGGAAGGCAGCCAAGGGAGCCUUCAGCCUGAACAACACGCAGCCGGGCUUCUGCUGAGACCUCCGUCUGGCCUCAGGACAUGGAGCCUCCCCACUCCUGCCCCGUUAGUGACCUCAGUUUGGUCAGUAUGGCGAGAAAACUGUCUCUUUGCAGAGGCAGGGCCAGGCUCUUAAGUCCUCUCUCUCCCAGCUGCAGUACCAGCUUGGAAACAAACAGCCUCGGAGGGGGCCGCUCUGUCGGGAAGAUCAAUGCUGCCUUCCAGAUUCUCUCACCGGGGGAGCUCGGCCAAAGCGGCAGCUGCUAGAUGGAAACGCUUUGAAGGUUGAACUCAGGAGUCCAGCGCCGCCCCUUCUGGCAGGCUUGCCGAGCAAGGCAGACGCUCAAGACAAAUUAAAGUCCCCGUCACAGGCUAGGAUAGAAAGCAAAAUGCAUGACUCAUACAACUUUUCCAGGGAGAUCCUUAGAAAGUUUCCAGGACUGAGCACGCUGGAUUCUCCCCACCUUGGAAUUUCGGCCACCCACACCAGGAUUUACAAAGCUCAUUUACAAUGAACGGCGGCAAGGGCAAAGGGCAUUCCUGCAGGCAAUGAGGUCAUAAGAAGGGAGAAGUGUAAAGCCUCCCCCUUCGCAGGAGAUGGUGAAAAGUGUCAUUUGGGAUUGGACGUGUGUAUGUACGGAUGUUUAUACUGUACCAGUGAAUGUCAUCACCCCAUCCCUCUCUGGAACCCGCUCCCUCACAUCACUGCCCUACUCAUAGCCAGCAUUCUCAGAGAGUGAGGGCUCAGGGAACGUCC
Non-coding RNA from Odocoileus virginianus texanus, 3143 nucleotides. The record is from RefSeq and is a predicted model, not a curated record. Lineage: Eukaryota; Metazoa; Chordata; Mammalia; Artiodactyla; Cervidae.